RNAcentral lists this long non-coding RNA (283 nucleotides) under Pan troglodytes (chimpanzee). Its description in RNAcentral is "long non-coding RNA NONPTRT013009". The record is from RNAcentral. Lineage: Eukaryota; Metazoa; Chordata; Mammalia; Primates; Hominidae.
CGCCGAGAAGCUGAAGGAAAAAAGACGCAGAAUGUUGGAUUAAAGGAGGCAGGAUGGGCCAAAUACUCCUAUACAGUCCACGCAAAGAGGGGUUGGACGAGCUCGGGCCUGUGGGAGCUGAGGCUGGAAGGACCUUGUAUGUCAUGCUGAGAAGUCUGGACUACAUGUCUUCAACUGAAGGUUUUCGAGGAGAGGGAUGUGAUUGGAUAUGUGUUGUAGAAAGAUAACUUUGCUUUUUAAGAAAACAACUUUAUUGAGGGAAGGGUAUCAAUUUACUUCUAAG